UUUAAAUGCGCACGGGUGUUGCCGCUUGGGUGGGCGGUAUCAUCAAAAACUUCGGCUCUGUGGGCCAAUUUUGGUAAGCAGAACUGGCGAUACGGGAUGAACCGAAAGUGUGGUUAAGGCGCCAAAUUAUCCGCUUAUAGACCCCAAAAAAGGUGUUGAUUCAUCGAGACAGCAGGACGGUGGCCAUGGAAGUCGGAAUCCGCUAAGGAGUGUGUAACAACUCACCUGCCGAAUGAAUUAGCCCUGAAAAUGGAUGGCGCUGAAGCGGGUAGCCGAAACCACGCCGUCUGGGCUAGUUAAGCCUUCAGAUGAGUAGGAGGAACCUGUCGGUCGUAUCGAAGCGUGUGUGCAAGCAUGCGUGGAACGGCCGAUAAUGCAGAUCUUGGUGUCAGUAGCAAAUAUUCAAAUGAGAACCUUGAAGGGCGAAGCGGGGAAGGGUUCCACGCGAACAUUGAUUGAGCGUGGGUGAGUCGUUCCUAAGCCGCGUGGCAAUAGCUAAUUAUCGGCGAAAGGGAAGCAGGUUGAUAUUCCUGCACACGGAUGUGGAUGCGGUGACGCACUUAACUGGGGCAGUGAAGCUGGCGGUAGCUCUGGGCAGAGUUUUCUUUUCUGUUUAACCGUACCGCGCGCGCUGUGUGGAAUCCGCUUGUCGGGAGAAACACGCGUGAACGGGCAUAGCGCCGGGAUUUUUCCGGCGUCCAGAUCGCUACCGACGGACCUUGAAAAACUGCUUGCUGGCGUAGUAUACAUGAAUUUUAUUUGUGUGUAUUGCGUAAAAGAAAUCCACGCCGUGACGUACCCAUAACCGCAUCAGGUCCCCAAGGUGAACAGCCUCUGCUCGAUAUGGAAAAUGCAGGUAAGGGAAGUCGGCAAAUUGGACCCGUAACUUUGGGAAAAGGGUUGGCUCUAGUGCUGCGUGGGAGUGGUUGUCUUGUGGUGGGGGUGAACUUGCUGGCUUUGCUGCGGCGGACUCUUGUGCGUUUUUGAGAGGAGAGGGAGGGGAGUAGGGGAGGCGGAGUCAAUUUUUUUGGCGCCAAAUUUCUUGCUUCCUUUUUUUUCAUUUUCUUGGCGUGCUGUUCGUUGUGGUGGGGCUGUGUGGGGGCACUUCUGCUCUUGAUGACGCCCACAGCAUGCGGCAAACUAGAACUGAAACGGUCAAAGGGAAUCCGACUGUUUAA
This 1178-nucleotide ribosomal RNA is filed under the name Hypoglossum geminatum. RNAcentral describes it as "eukaryotic LSU rRNA". It matches the Rfam family "Eukaryotic large subunit ribosomal RNA", at positions 1064 to 2145 of the family's 3401-position model. Lineage: Eukaryota; Rhodophyta; Florideophyceae; Ceramiales; Delesseriaceae. The record is from RNAcentral.